AUCGAACGCUGGCGGCAGGCUCAACACAUGCAAGUCGAGCGGGGUGAUGGUGCUUGCACUAUCACUUAGCGGCGGACGGGUGAGUAAUGCUUAGGAAUCUGCCUAUUAGUGGGGGACAACAUCUCGAAAGGGAUGCUAAUACCGCAUACGUCCUACGGGAGAAAGCAGGGGAUCACUUGUGACCUUGCGCUAAUAGAUGAGCCUAAGUCGGAUUAGCUAGUUGGUGGGGUAAAGGCCUACCAAGGCGACGAUCUGUAGCGGGUCUGAGAGGAUGAUCCGCCACACUGGGACUGAGACACGGCCCAGACUCCUACGGGAGGCAGCAGUGGGGAAUAUUGGACAAUGGGGGGAACCCUGAUCCAGCCAUGCCGCGUGUGUGAAGAAGGCCUUAUGGUUGUAAAGCACUUUAGGCGAGGAGGAGGCUCUUUUGGUUAAUACCCAAGAUGAGUGGACGUUACUCGCAGAAUAAGCACCGGCUAACUCUGUGCCAGCCGCCGCCGUAA
Molecule: ribosomal RNA, 503 nt
Filed under: uncultured bacterium
Lineage: Bacteria
Description: partial 16S ribosomal RNA
Rfam family: Bacterial small subunit ribosomal RNA
Source: RNAcentral